This 250-nucleotide ribosomal RNA is filed under the name uncultured bacterium. Its description in RNAcentral is "partial 16S ribosomal RNA". It matches the Rfam family "Bacterial small subunit ribosomal RNA", at positions 524 to 773 of the family's 1533-position model. The record is from RNAcentral.
UACGUAGGGUACUAGCGUUGUCCGGAAUUAUUGGGCGUAAAGAGCUCGUAGGCGGUUGGUCGCGUCUGCUGUGGAAACGCAUCGCUUAACGGUGCGCGUGCAGUGGGUACGGGCCGACUGGAGUGCAGUAGGGGAGUCUGGAAUUCCUGGUGUAGCGGUGAAAUGCGCAGAUAUCAGGAGGAACACCGGUGGCGAAGGCGGGACUCUGGGCUGUUACUGACGCUGAGGAGCGAAAGCAUGGGGAGCGAAC